This 253-nucleotide ribosomal RNA is filed under the name uncultured bacterium. RNAcentral describes it as "partial 16S ribosomal RNA". It matches the Rfam family "Bacterial small subunit ribosomal RNA", at positions 524 to 776 of the family's 1533-position model. The record is from RNAcentral.
UACGUAUGGGGCAAGCGUUGUUCGGAUUCAUUGGGCGUAAAGGGCACGCAGGCGGAUUUAAAAGUUGGGUGUUUAAUCCUCAGGCUUAACCUGAGACCGGCAUCCAAAACUUUAAAUCUAGAGUACCAGAGGGGAAAGCGGAAUUCUCGGUGUAGCGGUGGAAUGCGUAGAUAUCGAGAGGAACACCAGUGGCGAAGGCGGCUUUCUGGCUGGAUACUGACGCUCAGGUGCGAAAGCGUGGGGAGCAAACAGG